GUAAUUUGCAGAGGGCGCUUUGGCAUUGGCAGCGGUCCAAGUUCCUUGGAACAGGACGUCACAGAGGGUGAGAAUCCCGUACGUGGUCGCUAGCCUUUACCGUGUAAAGCCCCUUCGACGAGUCGAGUUGUUUGGGAAUGCAGCUCUAAAUGGGAGGUAAAUUUCUUCUAAAGCUAAAUACUGGCCAGAGACCGAUAGCGCACAAGUAGAGUGAUCGAAAGAUGAAAAGCACUUUGGAAAGAGAGUUAAAAAGCACGUGAAAUUGUUGAAAGGGAAGCGCUUGCAGCCAGACUUGCCUGUAGUUGCUCAUCCGGGUUUUUACCCGGUGCACUCUUCUAUAGGCAGGCCAGCAUCAGUUUGGGCGGUUGGAUAAAGGUCUCUGUCAUGUACCUCUCUUCGGGGAGAACUUAUAGGGGAGACGACAUGCAACCAGCCUGGACUGAGGUCCGCGCAUCUGCUAGGAUGCUGGCGUAAUGGCUGUAAGCGGCCCGUC
This 493-nucleotide ribosomal RNA is filed under the name fungal endophyte sp. DM134. RNAcentral describes it as "eukaryotic LSU rRNA". It matches the Rfam family "Eukaryotic large subunit ribosomal RNA", at positions 145 to 653 of the family's 3401-position model. Lineage: Eukaryota; Fungi. The record is from RNAcentral.